GCAAGUCGAACGCUGAAGCUUGGUGCUUGCACUGGGUGGAUGAGUGGCGAACGGGUGAGUAAUACGUGAGUAACCUGCUCUUGACUCUGGGAUAAGCCUGGGAAACUGGGUCUAAUACUGGAUACGACAUGCCACUGCAUGGUGGUGUGUGGAAAGGGUUUUACUGGUUUUGGAUGGGCUCACGGCCUAUCAGCUUGUUGGUGGGGUAAUGGCCUACCAAGGCGUCGACGGGUAGCCGGCCUGAGAGGGUGGAC
Molecule: ribosomal RNA, 254 nt
Filed under: uncultured bacterium
Lineage: Bacteria
Description: partial 16S ribosomal RNA
Rfam family: Bacterial small subunit ribosomal RNA
Source: RNAcentral